RNAcentral lists this ribosomal RNA (491 nucleotides) under uncultured soil bacterium. Its description in RNAcentral is "bacterial SSU rRNA". It matches the Rfam family "Bacterial small subunit ribosomal RNA", at positions 8 to 496 of the family's 1533-position model. The record is from RNAcentral.
AGAGUUUGAUCCUGGCUCAGAUUGAACGCUGGCGGCAUGCUUUACACAUGCAAGUCGAGCGGCAGCGCGGGGCAACCUGGCGGCGAGCGGCGAACGGGUGAGUAAUAGAUAGGAACGUGUCCGGGAGUGGGGGAUAACUAGCCGAAAGGUUAGCUAAUACCGCAUAUUCUCCAUGGAGGAAAGCGGGGGACCUGCAAGGGCCUCGCGCUCACGGAGUGGCCUAUCUCCGAUUAGCUAGUUGGUGAGGUAAAGGCUUACCAAGGCGACGAUCGGUAGCUGGUCUGAGAGGAUGAUCAGCCACACUGGGACUGAGACACGGCCCAGACUCCUACGGGAGGCAGCAGUGGGGAAUUUUGGACAAUGGGGGCAACCCUGAUCCAGCCAUGCCGCGUGCGGGAAGAAGGCCUUCGGGUUGUAAACCGCUUUUAUUCGGAAAGAAGGAGUGGAGGUUAAUACCCUCCAUGACGGACGUACCGGAUUAAUAGCCCCGC